RNAcentral lists this transfer RNA (88 nucleotides) under Oscillatoriaceae cyanobacterium M7585_C2015_266. It matches the Rfam family "tRNA". Rfam says of the family: Transfer RNA (tRNA) molecules are approximately 80 nucleotides in length. Their secondary structure includes four short double-helical elements and three loops (D, anti-codon, and T loops). The record is from Rfam by way of RNAcentral. Lineage: Bacteria; Bacillati; Cyanobacteriota; Cyanophyceae; Oscillatoriales; Oscillatoriaceae. RNAcentral also lists the same sequence under 3 other names.
GGAGAGGUGGCAGAGUUGGUCGAUUGCGUCUGACUUGAAAUCAGAUGAGCCUGUAAGGGUUCCGGGGGUUCGAAUCCCUCCCUCUCCG